RNAcentral lists this ribosomal RNA (507 nucleotides) under uncultured bacterium. Its description in RNAcentral is "bacterial SSU rRNA". It matches the Rfam family "Bacterial small subunit ribosomal RNA", at positions 16 to 518 of the family's 1533-position model. The record is from RNAcentral.
AUUAUGGCUCAGGAUGAACGCUAGCGGCAGGCCUAAUACAUGCAAGUCGUACGGUAAAGUCCCCUCGGGGAGUUGAGAGUGGCGGACGGGUGCGUAACGCGUAUGCAACCCACCCCCGACGGGCGGAUAGCCGGUGGAAACGCCGGAUAACCCGCCAUGCGGCCCCACAGGGGCAUCCCUGUGGCGUCAAAGCGGCGACGCGGUCGGGGACGGGCAUGCGUCCCAUUAGAUGGUUGGCGGUGCAAUGGACCACCAAGUCUACGAUGGGUAGGGGAUCUGAGAGGACGGUCCCCCACACUGGUACUGAGACACGGACCAGACUCCUGCGGGAGGCAGCAGUAAGGGAUAUUGGGCAAUGGGGGCAACCCUGACCCAGCCAUGCCCGCGUGAGGGAAUGAGGCCCUACGGGUCGUGAACCUCUUUUGUCCGGGGACAAGGACAGUGUCGCGAACACUGUUUGAGGGUACCGGGAGAAUAAGCGUCGGCUAACUCCGUGCCAGCAGCCGC